Long non-coding RNA from Anguilla rostrata (American eel), 1622 nucleotides. RefSeq lists it as uncharacterized. The transcript is spliced from 3 exons. Lineage: Eukaryota; Metazoa; Chordata; Actinopteri; Anguilliformes; Anguillidae. The record is from RefSeq and is a predicted model, not a curated record.
CUCCCACCAGCAUUUUUUUUUUUUUUUUGCCUCAGAUUUGACAUCAAACCAUUUUUUUUUUUACUUCAUCAGUUGCGCGACCUUCUCCGGAUACAGCGUUCACUGAACGAGUAAUAGCAUCCGGUGCACCUUUUUUUGUGUUAUUUUAUAUCCACUACUGACGCUACUAAAUAUACUUCCGGCAGUAGUACCUCCACUUCAGAACUACUGAAGUUUUUCUUACGUUUGGAGUCCGGUGCUCCACCGUCUUUAAAUUUUCAUUUGGGCAUUCUUGACUUCUCUCUCAACUUUUCUUUUCGAUUUCUGUGUGUGAUUUCUGUGUGUGCACACGGCCCUGUAGUCUCAUGCCCUUUUAUGGCGGGGCGUUUACCUAUGCUAAUUAGGAACAACUGGCACGCGCUUUACAUUUACUAAGACAAUGGGAUUCAUCAUUUUAAGAACACGAGUGCGAACAAUUCUGCGGUUUAAGAACACGCUGUGAAUUUGACGUAGACUUUUCUCAGGAUCUUUCUUAAGUACAAAUUUAAGAAAAAACUUAGGAAGAUAUUGGUGAAUGAGGCCCAGCGUCCCCAUUUCACCAAACGUCCAGGGGCCUUAUGUAUCAAACAUCUUAAUAAUUACACUUAAGAAUCUCAUAACAGCUUACUUUGGAGUGAAAUCAUUCUUCGCUUAAAGUGGUCGGUAAAACAUAGUUAUCAGGCAGCUCACACUUUCUCAGAGGUAAGUCUUGAGACAUUCUCAAGAGUAACGCUUAAGUGUGUUUCUGUGACAAUCACAGGUGCUGCAAACAAAAGGAUUAAGAUGAUGUCAUCAAUUUCCGAAAUUGCUAAGAGACAAGAACCAAUCAGCUUUUGGGAAAUAUGUGUUCUAUUGAUGGGUCAACAGAAGUUUUCAAUAAAGUUGAACACACCCUCAUUAUGAAAGCUCCCUUGUUGUCUAAUGUUAGUCUAAGCAAAAUGGAUGUGAAAAGAAAGCCGAAUUGGACUGUGGAAGAAACGGUGAUGUUGGUAGAGGAGGUGAAGGCAAAGAAGGGAAAAUUUAGCCCCACAUUUACAAGUCGACACAAAAAAGAAGUUUGGAAGCAGAUCGCAGACAGCAGACAGUGAGUUUCUCCUCCACCAUUCGGAGGAAUGCAAAAAGAAAUGGCACAAUGUUUUGUCCAAAGCGCGUCAGGAAAUCUCCCCUUUCAAGAAGGCAACAUCUGGCACUGGUGGAGGUCCUGCGCCUAAACCUUUAAGCGCAGUGGCAGAAGUAGUUCUCCACAAUCAGUAGUAAUGCCACAAUCAGUGGAGUGGGCGACUGUCAGGAUGCUGCACUACUCAAACUGCAGACCGUAGUAUGUAAUGCAGAUGAAAACACCAUCUCGUCCCCUCAUGAGCUGCCUGUAGAGGAACUCCCAGCUGCAACAGCACUGCAUCCAGGCCCAUCUGGCAUUCCCUCUCCAGCAGCAGGCCCAGAGCCCCUGCUCCCUGAGCCCCCACUGGCCACUGCCACUCCACGGCUCAACCCGGACGAGGUGGAGGACAUGGAUGCACUGCGGAGAGAAGAGUUGCGGAUGAGCAUAAAAGUUUUAAGGAUGAAGGAGCAUUAUUAUGAACUAAAAAUAAAAAAGAUGAAAUCUU